CCUACGGGAGGCAGCAGUGAGGAAUAUUGGUCAAUGGAUGAAAAUCUGAACCAGCCAAGUAGCGUGCAGGAUGACGGCCCUAUGGGUUGUAAACUGCUUUUAUGUGAGAAUAAAGUUAGGUAUGUAUACUUAUUUGCAUGUAUCACAUGAAUAAGGACCGGCUAAUUCCGUGCCAGCAGCCGCGGUAAUACGGAAGGUCCAGGCGUUAUCCGGAUUUAUUGGGUUUAAAGGGUGCGUAGGCCGUUUGAUAAGCGUGCUGUGAAAUAUAGUGGCUCAACCUCUAUCGUGCAGCGCGAACUGUCGAACUUGAGUGCGUAGUAGGUAGGCGGAAUUCGUGGUGUAGCGGUGAAAUGCUUAGAUAUCACGAAGAACUCCGAUUGCGAAGGCAGCUUACCGUAACGUUACUGACGCUUAAGCACGAAGGUGCGGGUAUCGAACAGGAUUAGAUACCCCGGUAGUC
RNAcentral lists this ribosomal RNA (460 nucleotides) under uncultured Prevotella sp. RNAcentral describes it as "bacterial SSU rRNA". It matches the Rfam family "Bacterial small subunit ribosomal RNA", at positions 338 to 795 of the family's 1533-position model. The record is from RNAcentral. Lineage: Bacteria; Pseudomonadati; Bacteroidota; Bacteroidia; Bacteroidales; Prevotellaceae.